UACGAAGGGGGCUAGCGUUGCUCGGAAUCACUGGGCGUAAAGGGUGCGUAGGCGGGUCUUUAAGUCAGAGGUGAAAUCCUGGAGCUCAACUCCAGAACUGCCUUUGAUACUGAAGAUCUUGAGUUCGGGAGAGGUGAGUGGAACUGCGAGUGUAGAGGUGAAAUUCGUAGAUAUUCGCAAGAACACCAGUGGCGAAGGCGGCUCACUGGCCCGUUACUGACGCUGAGGCACGAAAGCGUGGGGAGCAAACGGG
This 253-nucleotide ribosomal RNA is filed under the name uncultured bacterium. Its description in RNAcentral is "partial 16S ribosomal RNA". It matches the Rfam family "Bacterial small subunit ribosomal RNA", at positions 524 to 776 of the family's 1533-position model. The record is from RNAcentral.